GGUGGUUAUUCCAACCUUUAUACUCUACCUAGGAGUGAUGAGACCUGGGCCUGGCUCCUGCCUGCUGUGUGGUGAGCCCACUGUGAGCCUGGGGUCUGAGGGCACUUCUGCUGCACUUGGGAAGGCUGGAGAGGUGCUCUUGGCAGUUGGGUGUCUUGAGAAGACAGUGGCAAAGCAAAUCCUGGUACUUUCCAUCUUCCCUCUGGCAGGUCUAAACUGCCAGCAUCAUUAACUUUGUACUCUGGGGCCAUUGUUAAGUAAAAUAGCAGUUCCUGGAACACGAGCACCACGAUACUGUAACCAAGAUGGCUACUAAGUGCCCACGUAACUAAUAAGGCCCAGGCUUCUUGGCAUUCCAGACCCUUCCAGACCCAUGAAGCUCCUCCUGUAUAGCUCAGGUCUGCCCAGUAAGUGUAUUCCUUCUUACUGGCCUCAGGGACUGUGACAUAAAUGAUGUCAAUGAGAACCUUUGAAAGGAGAACCACCCCCUACCUGCACCCGGUGAUGGCCAUCAGGAAGUAAGCUGUCAGCCUGCAGGCUCCAGGGUAUGGCAUAUGGCAUAAAGUUGGCACAGAAGGAACCAGAUGCAAGACAUGGCAAAGAAGGAUUGAGUCCUCAAGGUACUUCCAAGCCUGGAUCCU
Non-coding RNA from Heterocephalus glaber (naked mole-rat), 641 nucleotides. NCBI's taxonomy places the organism in Eukaryota, Metazoa, Chordata, Mammalia, Rodentia, Bathyergidae. The record is from RefSeq and is a predicted model, not a curated record.